AAGAUCUCGAAUCUUGUAAUUUCAAGUUGUUUCUAUUUGGCCUCCGUGCUUGUAGUAGGUACCAAGAAUUGUACCAAGCAGAAGUCUUUACCUGAGAGGGUACCCCCAGCAUUUUCAAAUGGUAUAUGCAGAAGGAAAUGGUAUAGAUUUGGAGAAUGAAACAUGAAGGCUUAAUAAACUUGCACAAAAAAGGUUCCUAAAAAAUCAAAUUUCUUUAUUCUUUUGUAUUGUUUUCUGUAGCAAUAGCAGAACCAAAUUGAGCAAAGAGAAGAUUGGUUGUUUAUCUAUUAUUGAGAUAUCUCAAGAUAUGAAAGUUAUGAGAAAUAUUUCUCGCUGUAAGUGUAAAACUAGAAAUUU
This 357-nucleotide unclassified non-coding RNA is filed under the name Hevea brasiliensis (rubber tree). The record is from RNAcentral. Lineage: Eukaryota; Viridiplantae; Streptophyta; Magnoliopsida; Malpighiales; Euphorbiaceae.